AAUUACCCAAUCCUGACACAGGGAGGUAGUGACAAGAAAUAACAAUACAGGGCUUAAAGUCUUGUAAUUGGAAUGAUGGGAAUCUAAACCCUUCCCAGAGUAUCAAUUGGAGGGCAAGUCUGGUGCCAGCAGCCGCGGUAAUUCCAGCUCCAAUAGCGUAUAUUAAAGUUGUUGCAGUUAAGAAGCUCGUAGUUGAAUUUCUGCCUUGUCAUUAAUCUCGCUUCCGAGCGUUUUUUUAUUGACUUGGCAUCUUCUGGAUUUGGUGCCUUCGGGUACUAUUUUCCAGGAUUUACUUUGAGAAAACUAGAGUGUUUCAAACAGGCAUUCGCCUUGAAUACUACAGCAUGGAAUAAUGAAGUAGGACUUUGGUUCUAUUUUGUUGGUUAUUGAGCCAGAGUAAUGGUUAAUAGGAGCAGUUGGGGGCAUUCGUAUUUAA
Molecule: ribosomal RNA, 436 nt
Filed under: Babesia microti
Lineage: Eukaryota; Apicomplexa; Aconoidasida; Piroplasmida; Babesiidae
Description: SSU rRNA
Rfam family: Eukaryotic small subunit ribosomal RNA
Source: RNAcentral